Molecule: long non-coding RNA, 129 nt
Organism: Neopelma chrysocephalum (saffron-crested tyrant-manakin)
Lineage: Eukaryota; Metazoa; Chordata; Aves; Passeriformes; Pipridae
Exons: 3
Source: RefSeq, a predicted model, not a curated record
UGCAUAUGAUUCGUCAAGUAGACAGAGGUGAGAAGGCAAAUCUACAGUGAUUCAAAUACCUUCAAGGACAGAAGUAAAGCCCUGCUGAGAUCUGAGGCUAUUGAUGCACUUCUCAGAGAUCAUUUUGUG